CUUUCUUUAGUCGCACUACACGAAUGUGGAAUGCUUUAUUAAUAGUAAUAAGGAGCGCAUAUUAUACAAAAAAAGAACUCAACAAUGGUGAUUAUAUGGUUCGCAAGUAAGAAACUAUAUUUUCAAUACUCCAAAAAGUUUUUGCUACAGUCCAAAGUAAGAGGACUUUCUAGAAAAUUUUAGUGACUUACAAAAUGAAGCUCCCCAUUAAAUUUCAGCUUUGUGAUUUCUUGGGCUACAAUUGUUAUUUGUAAACAAAAAAUUCCAGUAUAAUAAUUUAGUUAACAAAUAUAUUUUUUUUUAAAUUGCUAUUAUAAAAAAAAACAGCCACUGUUAUUUUUUUGUUUUUCUUGACAGCAGCUGAUAUUUAAAUUUGUUGAACCAAAUUUAUUUUAAGUCGAUAAAUUAAUUCGAUAAACAAUUUGAAUGUGCAAACAAGAUUAAGUAUUAAAAGGUUAAUAAAACUUAUCACAGUUAUAUGUACUUGAAAUCAAAGGCAUAUGUAGAUCGUUAAAAUUAUAUCGAAUUCCAGUUUUCAAAACAUUUCUUCAUUCUACAUUCAUAAAUUAAUAAUUUUGUAUUCAUACCAUUUUUGUAUAAAAGGAGAAAGAUUAUUUGAUAAUGUCAUCAGUCGAUUUUUGUUAAACAAUCAACAAUCACCUAAAAAAUCAACAUGAAGUUCUUCAUCUUUUUUGCCUUGUUCAUUGUUGCCGUUAGUGCUGGAAGUCUUCCCAUUAUUUCAAGUUAUGGUGGAGCUAGACCCCCCGCGGCCAUUACUACAGUAGUUAGGCCUGUAGCUGUGGUUACUACUACAAAUAUUCAAAAGCCAGUUUUACUAACAGGUCAUUAAAAUUUAAAUGUUUUUAAGAUUGCAAACAAUCAAAAUUGGCAAUCAAAAAUGUUUCUUGUUAUAAAAUUGGAUAAACAAAUGAUUUGAACAGAAAAUAAAUUUUAUCUAAGUUAUCAGCAUUCUUAAAA
Long non-coding RNA from Eupeodes corollae, 978 nucleotides. RefSeq lists it as uncharacterized. The record is from RefSeq and is a predicted model, not a curated record. Lineage: Eukaryota; Metazoa; Arthropoda; Insecta; Diptera; Syrphidae. The transcript has 2 exons.